GACGUAGGGCGCGAGCGUUGUCCGGAUUUAUUGGGCGUAAAGAGCUCGUAGGCGGCUCGUCGCGUCGUCCGUGAAAACCCGCGGCUUAACCGCGGGCUUGCGGUUGAUACGGGCGGGCUAGAGUUCGGUAGGGGAGACUGGAAUUCCUGGUGUAGCGGUGAAAUGCGCAGAUAUCAGGAGGAACACCGGUGGCGAAGGCGGGUCUCUGGGCCGAUACUGACGCUGAGGAGCGAAAGCGUGGGGAGCGAACAGG
RNAcentral lists this ribosomal RNA (253 nucleotides) under uncultured bacterium. RNAcentral describes it as "partial 16S ribosomal RNA". It matches the Rfam family "Bacterial small subunit ribosomal RNA", at positions 524 to 776 of the family's 1533-position model. The record is from RNAcentral.